CCCUCUCUUCGAUCGCUCUCCUAGCUCCACCGACUAGCGCGGCGAGCCACCACCGACCAGCGCGCGAUCAAGAGCAGCAUCACCUUCCUUGACACCUCCGAUUGCUACAGUCCAGACACCAAUGAAGUACUCCUCCGUAAGCUCUUAUUUUUCCGACUGCCUCAUCUACCACCAUGUAUUCAAUUAAGCCAAAAUAUUCCCAAACCGGAAAGAGCAAAUCCACCCACGCAUUAUUUUCGAGUUCAAUUGAUCUAAGGAAGCGACUUUUUAACACACGUCUCCCCCAUCCUCCACCCACACCACCGCUCACCUUGCCCCUGAUCAAAGACAAAGAACCUCCCCUUGCAGCAGUAGGCCAGUCCACCGAUGACCACCGACAUCAUCCCAUCACCACCAUGGAGUGAUUCGGCCCCUCUUCUUUUCUGUCCUCCAUCUCCUCUAGCGAAAUCACGGCAACGAUAACAACCAGGGAUGUGGAGAUAUGGAAGGUUUCGAAUGGGGAAGGCAUGUAUGGGUAUAUUGGCUAUGAGGCUGCCCUUUUUGAUGGCACUUAAAAAAUGCUUUUUGAAAAACUAGUGAUUCUACAUUCCAAUAAUUGCAUAUUGUGGUUCAACGUGAAAUUGAGUACUUGCAAUGCUCCAAGGGUAAUCAAGAAGCUGUUGGCUUUGGUGGUGUGGUUAUGGAUGACAAAGGAGCAUGGAAUUCA
This is a long non-coding RNA of Rhododendron vialii, 706 nucleotides long. RefSeq lists it as uncharacterized. The record is from RefSeq and is a predicted model, not a curated record. Lineage: Eukaryota; Viridiplantae; Streptophyta; Magnoliopsida; Ericales; Ericaceae. The transcript is spliced from 4 exons.